Molecule: transfer RNA, 59 nt
Filed under: Dipodomys ordii (Ord's kangaroo rat)
Lineage: Eukaryota; Metazoa; Chordata; Mammalia; Rodentia; Heteromyidae
Rfam family: tRNA
About the family: Transfer RNA (tRNA) molecules are approximately 80 nucleotides in length. Their secondary structure includes four short double-helical elements and three loops (D, anti-codon, and T loops).
Source: Rfam by way of RNAcentral
GUGGCUCAGUGGUAUAGCACUUGCCUUGCGUGCUUGAGGCCCUGGGUUUGAUUCCCAGC